RNAcentral lists this small nuclear RNA (60 nucleotides) under Cervus elaphus hippelaphus. It matches the Rfam family "U2 spliceosomal RNA", at positions 1 to 60 of the family's 192-position model. From Rfam's summary of the family: U2 is a small nuclear RNA (snRNA) component of the spliceosome (involved in pre-mRNA splicing). The record is from RNAcentral. Lineage: Eukaryota; Metazoa; Chordata; Mammalia; Artiodactyla; Cervidae.
AUCCCUUCUCUGUCUUUUGGCUAAGACUAAGUGUAGUCUUUCUUCUUAUCAGUUUAAUAU